CGUAACGCGUAUGCAACCUACCCUUUACUGGAGGAUAGCCCGGGGAAACUCGGAUUAAUACUUCAUAGUACUAUAGAUUGGCAUCAUGAAAUAGUUAAAGAUUUAUUGGUAAAGGAUGGGCAUGCGUACCAUUAGUUAGUUGGUGAGGUAAUGGCUCACCAAGGCUACGAUGUAUAGGGGGUCUGAGAGGAUGAUCCCCCACACUGGUACUGAGACACGGACCAGACUCC
This 230-nucleotide ribosomal RNA is filed under the name uncultured bacterium. RNAcentral describes it as "partial 16S ribosomal RNA". It matches the Rfam family "Bacterial small subunit ribosomal RNA", at positions 109 to 339 of the family's 1533-position model. The record is from RNAcentral.